RNAcentral lists this non-coding RNA (108 nucleotides) under Escherichia coli. Its description in RNAcentral is "antisense sRNA RprA". It matches the Rfam family "RprA RNA". Rfam says of the family: Translational regulation of the stationary phase sigma factor RpoS is mediated by the formation of a double-stranded RNA stem-loop structure in the upstream region of the rpoS messenger RNA, occluding the translation initiation site. Clones carrying rprA (RpoS regulator RNA A) increased the translation of RpoS. The record is from RNAcentral. Lineage: Bacteria; Pseudomonadati; Pseudomonadota; Gammaproteobacteria; Enterobacterales; Enterobacteriaceae.
ACGGUUAUAAAUCAACAUAUUGAUUUAUAAGCAUGGAAAUCCCCUGAGUGAAACAACGAAUUGCUGUGUGUAGUCUUUGCCCAUCUCCCACGAUGGGCUUUUUUUUUU